UAGCACUUUAUCAAACUGUUGUCUGCUACAGAGUUACAAGUAUUAUACUAAUAAUAUAGCAUCCACCAUCUCCUGCUUGCAUAUUUCUGAAAACAUCUUAGUGGUGUGGCAGCCACUCAGCCUCUCUUUGCUGCCUCAUGUCCUCUCUGAUGAGGUCUAGCAGCUCAUCAUCUCCUUUCCUCUUUCUCCCUGUCGUAGGUGGCUGAGCUGCUUCGUCAUCGCUGUCCAGUGGGCUUCCCACUGACUCCCUCUCCUGAGCUUGGAUACUUGCAAUCCUAAAGGCAGAGGAAAUCAAAAAUGACAGCAGGCAAAUAAAAACAUCACAACAACUCUUAGUAACUGCACAUUUAUUAACUUGUGUUCUUGAGAAUUAUCUUCUUGAUAACACACAUACGUACUUUGUAUUCUUUAAAGUUAUCUCAUGUCUUCUGGCCUGCAAGGGGGUGACUUUCCCCUGCAGGCCCAUCCUCUCCAAAAUUGUCCUGAUCACACACAACAAAUAAGAGAAGAAAGGAAACCAUGGCAACUAUGUUAAUCCCUAAGCCCAAAGGUUUUCACAGCAGAACACCAGAGGAACACCGUCUGGACAUCACAGGUUCUGUACAGCAGCGGUCCGUGAGUCGUUUGGUACCGGGCCACGAGAGUUAAGGCUCCGGUGUGAAAUUGAUGGUUUUCAGGGUUUUAUCGUUAACUCGGUUUCCCUGAGUCUUUCCCUUGUUGUAGUUGUGUGUCUUAUUUUGAAAGAAAUAUUUACACGUUACCAUAGCGAGCAGAGAGCAUUAAGUGGCAGAGAGGAGGAUGUUACUGUCAAUAUUGGCACAUUUUCAGGAGGACGCUGCUAAUAAAGUUACAGUUACACAGUACAUUCACGUUUAUUAUUAUAUUUACAAAAUACCACAGUUUUUGUCUUGGUCGGAUCAUUUUAUGUGGUUGUAUUUAUCCGCGAUACCUUAAAGGCCGCUCCGUGUCUGACAUAAACCGGUCUGUGGCUCAAAACAGGUUGGGGGACCGCUGCUGUACGGCAUGAGGGUUAAUAGGACCGUACUCAUAUGAAUAUGAUGUGUAAAUUGAUUUAUUCUUGUGCAUCCACGCCACAGUGGCCCAAUUCUUCACCCCAGUGAAGAGGUGAUCGUUUUCUCCUCGUUUUAAUAAAUUAAGCCGUUUGGUCUUUGUUCCCCACAACAUAUCACCAAUUCGAAAAAAUCUAAAUUAGCUGUAUGUAAGCGGCAAUACAUGAAAAAUCGCGGGACCACCGAUACAAGCUGGUUUACGGUUAUUUAAAUUAAACCCCCCCCCCAAAAAACAUGUCUAUGCAGAUGCCCAAAGCUUAACACAACCGCUAUAACAAUUUAACUUUUGUACAACCAGAUUUUCAUAUACUUACAUUUGAAGGCGUUUUCCUCUCCUGCUUCGACCACCAUCGUUAUCAGAAACAAAUCUCCUCUAUGAACCGCAAUGAAUCCUGGGAUAUGGUAGGACACGAAGGAUAGAUCGGACCCAUCCUUAAAAUUCGGGGCAGAGUAGGACGCAUUUGUAGCCACAUUUUGGCUACGUUCACACUGCAGGCGAAAGCGCAUCAAAUCCGACUUUUCUGACCCUAUGCGACCCAUAUCCGAUCAUGGUAUGACAGUGUGAACGGCACAAAUCCGAUAUUUUCAAAUCCGAUCUGGGUCACUUUCGUAUGUGGUACUGAAUCCGAUACAUAUCCGAUGUUUUAGAAAGCGACUGCUGUUUGAACGGUCAUGUCGCAUUAAAUCCGUCUUUUACGUCACUGACACAAGACAGACGCCAAUUAUCAGCGCAGGAGAAGACAUUGCGAACGCUUCCUGGCCAUCCAGUGUAGAUGUUAGUGAAACUGUUGGGAAGACAACGUGAACAUUUUAUUUGUACUGUAUAAUCUGCAGAUUCUGAUAGAUAUCUGCAGAUUAUCCUUUGAAGCACCGCUCCUCUCUAAAACUGCAAUAAGGAUCAUUAUUAGGUUAUUUACAUUAUUAUGUAAAUAACAAAAGAACUUAAAGCAAAAAUUGGGAAACGUAAAGUCCGAAGUCUUUAUAUUAAGGGCCAUCAGUCAAACAAUACUGUUUGUUCGGAUUUGAUCAAAAAAUCGGAAUUGAGCAUUAAGACCUGCAGUGUGAAUGUAGCCUUUGAGUACUCUUUGAAUUCAGACAGCCUUCGUCGUGUCGCCGUGACGUCAUUGCCUCCAAAUAUGGCAUUGGCGCAUCCUUCCACUGAAUUGUGACCUGUUCCUGGACCGUUUCUUUAACAACUGUAAUAGAUUACAGGAAGUCUCUGGCAGUGUUGCUGAAUCUGCCCGAGCAAGAUCAGACGUGGAUGAGCUGCUGCAACUGAGACCUGCGGUUUGUCUUUUCUGGUUGGCGAGUGGAGAAUCACACAGGGUGGUCUGCAAAGAGAGCUUUAGGAUGCUUCCUCCCACUGUCCACUGCAUCCUCCAUCCACAGGGUUUGCAGGGCUCACUCAUGGCUGCCACAC
Oreochromis aureus is the source of this 2490-nucleotide long non-coding RNA. NCBI's taxonomy places the organism in Eukaryota, Metazoa, Chordata, Actinopteri, Cichliformes, Cichlidae. The record is from Ensembl.